Molecule: ribosomal RNA, 828 nt
Filed under: uncultured bacterium
Lineage: Bacteria
Description: bacterial SSU rRNA
Rfam family: Bacterial small subunit ribosomal RNA
Source: RNAcentral
AUUGAACGCUGGCGGUAUGCUUAACACAUGCAAGUCGAACGGUAACAGGCCUUCGGGCGCUGACGAGUGGCGGACGGGUGAGUAACGCGUAGGAAUCUGCCUGUUAGUGGGGGACAACGUGGGGAAACCCACGCUAAUACCGCAUACGCCCUACGGGGGAAAGGAGGGGAUCUUCGGACCUUUCGCUAACAGAUGAGCCUGCGUUAGAUUAGCUAGUUGGUAGGGUAAAGGCCUACCAAGGCGACGAUCUAUAGCUGGUCUGAGAGGACGAUCAGCCACACUGGGACUGAGACACGGCCCAGACUCCUACGGGAGGCAGCAGUGGGGAAUAUUGGACAAUGGGCGAAAGCCUGAUCCAGCAAUACCGCGUGUGUGAAGAAGGCCUUAGGGUUGUAAAGCACUUUCAAUUGGGAGGAAAACCUAUCGAUCAAUACCCGAUAGCUUGACAUUACCUUUAGAAGAAGCACCGGCUAACUCCGUGCCAGCAGCCGCGGUAAUACGGAGGGUGCGAGCGUUAAUCGGAAUUACUGGGCGUAAAGCGUGCGUAGGCGGUUCGUUAAGUCAGAUGUGAAAGCCCUGGGCUCAACCUGGGAACUGCAUUUGAAACUGGCGGACUAGAGUUUAGUAGAGGGGAGUGGAAUUUCAGGUGUAGCGGUGAAAUGCGUAGAUAUCUGAAGGAACACCAGUGGCGAAGGCGACUCCCUGGACUAGAACUGACGCUGAGGUACGAAAGCGUGGGUAGCAAACAGGAUUAGAUACCCUGGUAGUCCACGCCGUAAACGAUGUCGACUAGCCGUUGGCCCUAUUUACAGGGUUAGUGGCGCAGCU